Molecule: long non-coding RNA, 2267 nt
Filed under: Homo sapiens (human)
Lineage: Eukaryota; Metazoa; Chordata; Mammalia; Primates; Hominidae
Description: HSALNT0073745
Source: RNAcentral
CUUACCUUAGUAAGGUUCAUUUGUUGAAACUAAGGAACAAACAUUAGUGCAUUGCUAUUAACUAAAGUCCAUAUUUUACUUACAUUUUCUUUGUUUUUGUCUAAUUUUUUUUUUUAUGUUCCAGUGUCCCAUCCUGGAUACCACAUUACCUUUAGUCGUCAUUUGUCCUAAGGAUCCUUUUGGCUGUGACAGUUUUUCAGACUUUGCUUUUGCUGGCCUUGAAAGUUUCAAAGAGUACUCAUCAGUCAUGUAUGGAAUACAGGUUACAUUGGAGGAAAACAUGCAACUCGAUCUAUUGUAUUUGUUAAAGUAAGCUAAGACAGGACAUAGGCUCUGGUAAAGAUUUUAUUACAACAAAAACACAAAUUGACAAAUUGGACCUAAUUGAACUACAGAGCUUCUGCACAACAAAAGCAACAACCAACAGAGUAAAUAGACAAUCUACAGAAUGGGAGAAAAUAUUUGCAAACUGUGCAUUCAACAAAUAUCUAAUGUAUAGAAUCUAUAAGGAGCUUAAACAAAUUAACAAGCAAAAAACCAACAACUCAUUAAAAAGUGGGCAAAGCACAUGAACAGAUACUUUUCAAGAGAAGACUUACAAGCAGCCAACAAGCAUAUAAAAAGAUGCUCAAUGUCACUAGUAGUUACAGAAAUGCAAAUCACAAUGAGAUACCAUCUUACACCAGUCAUAAUUGCUGUUAUUAAAAGGUCAAAAAAAUAACAGAUGCCUGCAAGUUUGCGGAGAAAAGGGAACACAUACACUGCUGGUGGGAAUGUAAAUUAGUUCAGUCAUCGUGGAAAGCAGCUUGGAGAUUUCUCAAAGAACUUAAAAGAGAAAUACCACUUGACCCAGCAAUCCCUUUACCGAGUGUAUACCCAGAAGAAUGUAAAUCAUUCUGCCAUAAAGACACAUGCACAUGUGUGUUCAUUGCAGCACUAUUCACAAUAGCAAAGACAUGGAAUCAACUAAAUGUCCAUUAAUGGUAGACUGGAUAAAGAAAAUGUGGUACAUGUACACCAUAGAAUACCACACAGCCAUAGUAAAGAAUGAGAUUGUGUCCUUUGCAGCAACAUGAUGGAGCUGGAAGUCAUUCACCUAAGCAAACUAACACAGAAACAGAAAACCAAAUCCUGCAUGUUGUCACUUAUAAGUGGGAGCUAAACAUUGAGUACACAUAGACACAAAGAAGAGAACAAUAGACAUCAGGGCCUAAUUGAGGGUGGAAGGUGGGAGGAGGGUGAGGAUCAAUAAACUACAUAUUGGAAAUUAUGCUUACUACCUGGGUGAUGAAAUGAUCUGUACUCCAAACCCCCAUGACAUGCAAUCUACCUACAUAACAAACCUGCAUAUGUACUCCUGAACUUAAAAUAAAAGUUUAAAAAUUUUUUAAUUAAAAAAGCAAGCUAAGACAUGAUGACACAUAAAUUUCAGAAUUCAAUGGCUUAAAGAACAAUGUUUAUUACUUUUUUAUGUAACUGCUUAGGGUGGGGAUAACAGGAACUACAAAGCCAUUUAAAGACCUAGAGUGAUGGAGGCUAUACCAUCUUCACAUUUGUCUCCCAGUAAAAUGUCUCCAAUGUUUAAAUGGAGGGGAGAGCAUGUACUGAAUAAUUGUAUGGGCCAGGCCUGAAAGUAGUAUAUACCUUGUAUGUUCACAUUCCAUUGACUAGAACUCAGUCACACAGCCAUAACUCUUCAGGGAGCCUGGAAAAUACAGCCCAGUUGUACCAGGAAAAAAGGGAGAAUGGAUUUUGGUGGACAUGCAGUCUGCCACAACUAGUAAAUGAAAUGAAGAAGUGUGUAAAUACAAACUUGCAGAAUAACAUCAUUGACAUGGUUUUAAAAAUGUCAUCUACCACCAGAGAUAACGAUGCUGUUGCUAGUGUUGGUUCUAGGCUGAAAUUUUAAUCAGAUAAUGUGUAGGGAAAUGCUUUGGAGGCUGUAAAGUUGUAAACAAGUGUGAAGUGUUAUAAUUAUUUCUCAUUUUAGCUUCAUGCAUUGAAAAAAAAUACAUAUUGAAAAUGUGUUAGCCCCAACAAUCAUAACUAACUUAGAAUUUGUUCAUUCUAAGAUGCACACUUUUUGAUGCUUUAUCAUCAUUGACAUCAGGACGCAUCUCUCCAUGUUGUCACGCAGCAGUUACAAUAAAGUUGUUAUUCCUUCAGCAUAUUCUCAAAGGCUUAACAAAUAAUCCUGUAGACCAAAAUGGAACACCCUUUUAAGUAAUGCUAUAUCACCAAUACCUUUAAAAGCAUGAAAAAAAUUG